CCUACGGGAGGCAGCAGUGAGGAAUAUUGGUCAAUGGACGAGAGUCUGAACCAGCCAAGUAGCGUGAAGGAUGACUGCCCUAUGGGUUGUAAACUUCUUUUAUAUGGGAAUAACAUGUUCCACGUGUGGGAUUUUGUAUGUACCAUAUGAAUAAGGAUCGGCUAACUCCGUGCCAGCAGCCGCGGUAAUACGGAGGAUCCGAGCGUUAUCCGGAUUUAUUGGGUUUAAAGGGAGCGUAGGUGGAGUGUUAAGUCAGUUGUGAAAGUUUGCGGCUCAACCGUAAAAUUGCAGUUGAAACUGACAGUCUGGAGUACAGUAGAGGUGGGCGGAAUUCGUGGUGUAGCGGUGAAAUGCUUAGAUAGCACGAAGAACUCCGAUUGCGAAGGCAGUUCACUGGACUGCAACUGACACUGAGGCUCGAAAGUGUGGGUAUCAAACAGGAUUAGAUACCCCUGUAGUC
RNAcentral lists this ribosomal RNA (460 nucleotides) under uncultured bacterium. RNAcentral describes it as "partial 16S ribosomal RNA". It matches the Rfam family "Bacterial small subunit ribosomal RNA", at positions 338 to 795 of the family's 1533-position model. The record is from RNAcentral.